GGUAACACCGGCAGCCCGAGUGGUGAUCACUAUUAUUGGGUCUAAAGGGUCCGUAGCCGGUUUAAUCAGUCUUCUGGGAAAUCUAAUCGCUUAACUAUUAGGCUUCCAGGGGAUACUGUUAGACUUGGGACCGGGAGAGGUAAGAGGUACUGCAGGGGUAGGAGUGAAAUCUUGUAAUCCCUGUGAGACCACCAGUGGCGAAGGCGUCUUACCAGAACGGGUCCGACGGUGAGGGACGAAAGCUGGGGGCACGAACCGGAUUAGAUACCCGGGUAGUCCCAGCUGUAGACGAUGCUCGUUAGGUGUCAGGAACGGUGCGACUGUUUCUGGUGCCGAAGGGAAGCCGUGAAACGAGCCACCUGGGAAGUACGGCCGCAAGGCUGAAACUUAAAGGAAUUGGCGGGGGAGCACUACAACGGGUGGAGCCUGCGGUUUAAUUGGACUCAACGCCGGGAAACUCACCGGGGGCGACAGCAAUAUGUAGGUCAGGUUAAAGGUCUUACCUGAAUCGCUGAGAGGAGGUGCAUGGCCGUCGUCAGUUCGUACUGUGAAGCAUCCUGUUAAGUCAGGCAACGAGCAAGACCCGUGCCCACUGUUACCAGCAUAUCCUUUAUGGAUGAUGGGGACUCUGUGGGGACCGCUGCUGCUAAAGCAGAGGAAGGUGCGGGCUACGGUAGGUCAGUAUGCCCCGAAUCUCCCGGGCUACACGCGGGCUACAAUGGUUGGGACAAUGGGUAUCUACUCCGAAAGGAGUUGGCAAUCUCUUAAACCCAAUCGUAGUUCGAAUUGAGGGCUGUAACUCGCCCUCAUGAAGCUGGAAUCCGUAGUAAUCGCGUUUCAACAUAGCGCG
This 850-nucleotide ribosomal RNA is filed under the name uncultured archaeon. RNAcentral's name for it is "bacterial SSU rRNA". It matches the Rfam family "Archaeal small subunit ribosomal RNA", at positions 469 to 1317 of the family's 1478-position model. The record is from RNAcentral.